UGGUUGCCUCCUCCUCCUCAUCUGCAUCCUCCUUAUCCAAGCUCCGAUCUAUCCUCCUCCAGAUAGUUCAAAGGUUCUCCCUCUGUAACGCGGGCCACACGUCCGGCAUGCCAAGCGUCCACCUCGACCGUGAUUUUGUGGCGGCGCCGCAGUGAAAGAGGCUUUCACCACCCACAGUGGAACCUGGCCAUUGCUCGUGGAGGUCAAAGAAGGAAGGAGGGAAGAGGUGGUGCACCGGAGGCUAAGAAGGAUAGAUAUGGGGCUCGCAGGGUGUGCGGUUUAUGGCAUGGCCUGUGGUCAUUUAAUAGUAGGCGCCCGGAGUGGCUUCUCAUUUCGUCGCGCCGACGCGAAUGCCAUGCAGGCGGACGGAGUCACCCUACUUGAAUGGGGUAGGAAGUCGUCCCCUCAUCCUGCAAGUUCAUGUCAGCUCUGAACUAGCAUUAACGUGGUGCAGGGAGCGAGGAUGCAAGCGUUAUCCGGAAUGAUUGGGCGUAAAGCGUCUGUAGGUGGCUUUUCAAGUCCGCCGUCAAAUGCCAGGGCUCAACCCUGGACAUGCGGCGGAAACUACCAAGCUGGAGUAUGGUAGGGGCAGAGGGAAUUUCUGGUGGAGCGGUGAAAUGCAUUGAGAUCGGAAAGAACACCAACGGCAAAAGCACUCUGCUGGACCGACACUGACACCGAGAGACGAAAGCUAGGGUAGCAAAUGGGAUUAGAGACCCCAGUAGUCCUAGCCGUAAACGAUGGAUACUAGGUGCUGUGCGACUCGACCCGUGCAGUGCUGUAGCUAACGCGUUAAGUAUCCCGCCUGGGGAGUACGUUCGCAAGAAUGAAACUCAAAGGAAUUGAUGGGGGCCCGCACAAGCGGUGGAGCAUGUGGUUUAAUUCGAUGCAAAGCGAAGAACCUUACCAGGGCUUGACAUCCCGUGAAUCCUCUUGAAAGAGAGGGGUGCCCUCGGAACGCGGACACAGGUGGUGCAUGGCUGUCGUCAGCUCAUGCCGUAAGGUGUUGGGUUAAGUCUCGCAAUGAGCGCAACCCUCGUGUUUAGUUACCACUAUGAGUUUGGAACCCUGAACAGACCGUCGGUGUUAAACCGGAGGAAGGAGAGGAUGAGGCCAAGUCAUCAUGUCCCUUAUGCCCAGGGCGACACACGUGCUACAAUGGGCGGGACAAAGGGUCGCGAUCUCGCGAGGGUGAGCUAACUCCAAAAACUCGUCCUUGGUUCGGAUUGCAGGUUGCAACUCGCCUGGAUGAAGCAGGAAUCGCUAGUAAUCGCAUGUCAGCCAUACGGCGGUGAAUCCGUUCUAGGGCCUUGUACACACCACCCGUCACACUAUAGGAGCUAGCCAUGUUUGAAGUCAUUACCCUUAACCGUAAGGAGGGGGAUGCCUAAGGCUAGGCUUGCGACUGGAGUGAAGUUGUAACAAGGUAGCCGUACUGGAAGGUGCGGCUG
This 1451-nucleotide ribosomal RNA is filed under the name Triticum aestivum (bread wheat). RNAcentral's name for it is "bacterial SSU rRNA". The stretch from base 408 to 1451 matches the Rfam family "Bacterial small subunit ribosomal RNA". The record is from RNAcentral. RNAcentral also lists the same sequence under 1 other name. Lineage: Eukaryota; Viridiplantae; Streptophyta; Magnoliopsida; Poales; Poaceae.